This 250-nucleotide ribosomal RNA is filed under the name uncultured bacterium. RNAcentral's name for it is "partial 16S ribosomal RNA". It matches the Rfam family "Bacterial small subunit ribosomal RNA", at positions 779 to 1026 of the family's 1533-position model. The record is from RNAcentral.
UAGAUACCCUGGUAGUCCACGCCGUAAACGAUGUCGACUUGGAGGUUGUGCCCUUGAGGCGUGGCUUCCGGAGCUAACGCGUUAAGUCGACCGCCUGGGGAGUACGGCCGCAAGGUUAAAACUCAAAUGAAUUGACGGGGGCCCGCACAAGCGGUGGAGCAUGUGGUUUAAUUCGAUGCAACGCGAAGAACCUUACCUACUCUUGACAUCCAGAGAACUUAGCAGAGAUGGUUUGGUGCUCGAAAGAGAA